CCUCCCUACCCUCUUUUCUUCAAUUGUUCUUUUAUCCUCAAUUUUCUGUGCGGCCGUGCUCUCUCCUCGCCACUGCAACCACAAGUUCCAACAUCACCACCCACUCAAGUCAUCGGCCAGCCAUCUUCUUUCCGUAAGAAACCACCCACAAACCUUAUUUACUGCAAUGAUUUCCAAACCAAGAGACUUUCUUUGAUACUUUUUGGAUUGGCAACAAAAGGGUUGGCUCAUUGGAUAAUAUUUGACUCGUGUUGCUUAAGCUUGUAAAGUUUGUGUCUACAAGAGGUUAGGAAAUGUUCAGGAUCGACUGCCGGAGGCGUGACAGUGCGGUGUAGCCAGUGUUUAUUAGAUGUCUGUUUCCUUACCUUUAUUUAGGAUUGUUAGACAUUUUAAAUUGUUGAAUUUUAUUUAUGACUCAGUCACCUUCGACUUGAGCUGUUGUUUUGUUUCCGCUGUGAUAUUGACCACUAAGGUCUAGCAUUCUGAUUAAGUGGUUGUUUUAUUGCAUCUGCUUGAUAUGGACCGUUGGGGUCUUAAUUACUAUAGUAGUAUUGGAUUAUGUUUCU
Long non-coding RNA from Tripterygium wilfordii, 566 nucleotides. RefSeq lists it as uncharacterized. Lineage: Eukaryota; Viridiplantae; Streptophyta; Magnoliopsida; Celastrales; Celastraceae. The record is from RefSeq and is a predicted model, not a curated record. The transcript has 3 exons.